CGUGUAGGCGGCCAGACAGGUCAGCUGUGAAAACUCGAGGCUCAACCUCGAGACGUCGGUUGAAACCGUUUGGCUAGAGUCCGGAAGAGGAGAGUGGAAUUCCCGGUGUAGCGGUGAAAUGCGCAGAUAUCGGGAAGAACACCCGUGGCGAAGGCGGCUCUCUGGGACGGUACUGACGCUGAGACGCGAAAGCGUGGGGAACGAACA
This 207-nucleotide ribosomal RNA is filed under the name uncultured bacterium. RNAcentral's name for it is "partial 16S ribosomal RNA". It matches the Rfam family "Bacterial small subunit ribosomal RNA", at positions 568 to 774 of the family's 1533-position model. The record is from RNAcentral.